Molecule: ribosomal RNA, 467 nt
Filed under: uncultured bacterium
Lineage: Bacteria
Description: partial 16S ribosomal RNA
Rfam family: Bacterial small subunit ribosomal RNA
Source: RNAcentral
GACGAACGCUGGCGGCGUGCUUAACACAUGCAAGUCGAACGGAAAGGCCCAGCUUGCUGGGUACUCGAGUGGCGAACGGGUGAGUAACACGUGGGUGAUCUGCCCCUGACUUUGGGAUAAGCCUGGGAAACUGGGUCUAAUACCGGAUAUUCAUUUUUCCUCGCAUGGGGAUUUGUGGAAAGCUUGUGCGGUUAGGGAUGGGCCCGCGGCCUAUCAGCUUGUUGGUGGGGUAAUGGCCUACCAAGGCGACGACGGGUAGCCGACCUGAGAGGGUGAUCGGCCACACUGGGACUGAGACACGGCCCAGACUCCUACGGGAGGCAGCAGUGGGGAAUAUUGCACAAUGGGCGCAAGCCUGAUGCAGCGGCGCCGCGUGAGGGAUGACGGCCUUCGGGUUGUAAACCUCUUUCAGCUACGACGAAGCGCAAGUGACGGUAGGAGCAGAAGAAGCACCGGCCAACUACGUG